AAAGAACGCUGGCGGCAUGCCUAACACAUGCAAGUCGAACGAAUAAUUUUCAAGCUUUGCUUGAAAGCUGUUAGUGGCAAACGGGUGAGUAACACGUAGGAAUCUACCUUACAGUACGGAAUAACAACUGGAAACGGUUGCUAAUACCGUAUAUUCUCUUCGGAGGAAAGAUUAAUCGCUGUAAGAUGAGCCUGCGCUAGAUUAGGUAGUUGGUAGGGUAAUGGCCUACCAAGCCUACGAUCUAUAGCUGGUCUGAGAGGACGAUCAGCCACACUGGAACUUAGACACGGUCCAGACUCCUACGGGAGGCAGCAGUGGGGAAUAUUGGACAAUGGGCGAAAGCCUGAUCCAGCAAUGCCGCGUGAAUGAUAAAGGCCUUAGGGUUGUAAAGCUCUUUCGGCAGGAACGAAACGGUGGUCCCUAAUACGGAUUGCUAAUGACGGUACCUGAAGAAGAAGCACCGGCUAACUACGUGCCAGCAGCCGCGGUAAGGAGCU
This 497-nucleotide ribosomal RNA is filed under the name uncultured bacterium. RNAcentral describes it as "bacterial SSU rRNA". It matches the Rfam family "Bacterial small subunit ribosomal RNA", at positions 31 to 529 of the family's 1533-position model. The record is from RNAcentral.